GCGAGUAUGGCCCUCACGGGUCUAAUCCACCAUAAACACCUUUGUGAACCAGUCAGGGGGACUCGGCCGUGAAAAGCCCAGGCGAUUAGCGGAAGGGCCCUCCUUUGCAAACCCGUUUAGAAGUCUUGAAAGUACUUUUGUAUAAUCUAGUAA
This 153-nucleotide unclassified non-coding RNA is filed under the name soil metagenome. Its description in RNAcentral is "partial internal transcribed spacer 1". The record is from RNAcentral.